CCUACGGGGGGCAGCAGUAGGGAAUCUUCCACAAUGGACGAAAGUCUGAUGGAGCAACGCCGCGUGAGUGAAGAAGGUUUUCGGAUCGUAAAACUCUGUUGUUGGAGAAGAACGUAUUUGAUAGUAACUGAUCAGGUAGUGACGGUAUCCAACCAGAAAGCCACGGCUAACUACGUGCCAGCAGCCGCGGUAAUACGUAGGUGGCAAGCGUUGUCCGGAUUUAUUGGGCGUAAAGCUAGCGCAGGCGGUUUCUUAAGUCUGAUGUGAAAGCCUUCGGCUCAACCGAAGAAGUGCAUCGGAAACUGGGAAACUUGAGUGCAGAAGAGGACAGUGGAACUCCAUGUGUAGCGGUGAAAUGCGUAUAUAUAUGGAAUAACACCAGUGGCGAAGGCGGCUGUCUUGUCUGUAACUGACGCUGAGGCUCGAAAGCAUGGGUAGCA
RNAcentral lists this ribosomal RNA (440 nucleotides) under uncultured bacterium. RNAcentral's name for it is "bacterial SSU rRNA". It matches the Rfam family "Bacterial small subunit ribosomal RNA", at positions 338 to 770 of the family's 1533-position model. The record is from RNAcentral.